UGGGGAAUAUUGCACAAUGGGCGCAAGCCUGAUGCAGCCAUGCCGCGUGUGUGAAGAAGGCCUUCGGGUUGUAAAGCACUUUCAGCGAGGAGGAAGGUGGUGAGCUUAAUACGCUCAUCAAUUGACGUUACUCGCAGAAGAAGCACCGGCUAACUCCGUGCCAGCAGCCGCGGUAAUACGGAGGGUGCAAGCGUUAAUCGGAAUUACUGGGCGUAAAGCGCACGCAGGCGGUUUGUUAAGUCAGAUGUGAAAUCCCCGGGCUCAACCUGGGAACUGCAUUUGAAACUGGCAAGCUAGAGUCUCGUAGAGGGGGGUAGAAUUCCAGGUGUAGCGGUGAAAUGCGUAGAGAUCUGGAGGAAUACCGGUGGCGAAGGCGGCCCCCUGGACGAAGACUGACGCUCAGGUGCGAAAGCGUGGGGCAGCAAACAGGAUUAGAUACCCUGGUAGUCCACGCUGUAAAACGAUGUCGAUUUUGGAGGUUGUGCCCUUGAGGCGUGGCUUCCGGAGCUAACGCGUUAAAUCGACCGCCUGGGGAGUACGGCCGCAAGGUUAAAACUCAAAUGAAUUGACGGGGUC
RNAcentral lists this ribosomal RNA (576 nucleotides) under uncultured bacterium. RNAcentral's name for it is "partial 16S ribosomal RNA". It matches the Rfam family "Bacterial small subunit ribosomal RNA", at positions 355 to 920 of the family's 1533-position model. The record is from RNAcentral.